This 215-nucleotide ribosomal RNA is filed under the name uncultured bacterium. Its description in RNAcentral is "partial 16S ribosomal RNA". It matches the Rfam family "Bacterial small subunit ribosomal RNA", at positions 1285 to 1500 of the family's 1533-position model. The record is from RNAcentral.
GUCUCAGUUCGGAUUGAAGGCUGAAAUUCGCCUUCAUGAAGCCGGAAUUGCUAGUAAUGGCAGGUCAGCAUACUGCCGUGAAUACGUUCCCGGGGCCUUGUACACACCGCCCGUCACACCAUGAGAGUUGGAGAUACCCGAAGCCUGUGAGCUAACAAACGAGGCAGCAGUCGAAGGUAGAAUCAAUGAUUGGGGUGAAGUCGUAACAAGGUACC